CAAGUACGUAUAUACUUUAUUACAUAGUACAAAACACCAUCUUAAAUGCAAGUUGUAAAAAUUCAGUAACAGGAACUAAGAAAACAUGAAAAAUUAUUCUAAGUUUUUGCCUUGUAAACCAAGGGAGUGAAUCCACCCUCCAGGCCAGUGAUCAAAUCUGCACCUCUGCAGCAAUGCUAGUUCUCUGAGGUCACUGCCACAAGGCCCUGGAUUAAGUCAUCUAUAGUCUGUAAUGCUGGUUUAUCUGGGCAGCAACAAUAAAGAUAUUGACUGAUUAGAGCAUCUUACUAGAGACUGGUAAGGAAACUGGGGCAGCAAAGAUCCAAGUUCCUAAAUAAACUCUUGUUGACUCAAUAUUCUUAUGAGGAGGAACAUGAUUUAACUAGCUCCUUAACUAAAAUGCUAAUGUUAACACAAAAACAUCUGAAAUACUUUUCCUUGCAUUAUUUUCUUUAAACGUUUAAAGUGAAACCAUUUUCAUCUAUUCUGUAUAACAAUACAUAACACUGAUCUCUUAUGAUGCAGCAGGUUAAGGAUCCGGAGUUGUCCUUGUAGUGGCUUGGUUUUGAUCCUGGCCCAGGAACUUCCACCUGCCAUGGCAGUAAGAAAAAAAACAAAGAGUAACAUUGAGCUCUAGCUCCCUGUUGACAGUGUAACUCCCAGCCUGCAGGUAACCUACUUGUUACUCAAAUGAGCUCAGCUUGAAAUAAGAGAAAUGCUCCCAUGUUUAGCUGCUCAUUCGGAGCUAACGAUUUGCUAGGAUCCUCCCAAUAAACUAGCCCCAUGCUCUCUACUUUGUCACACUCGACUCUAAAGGUUUCACUCUGCUUAAAUCAUUGUACCUAUAGAGCUGAUGAAAAAUGAGGAAGCUCAGCUCAUUUUUGUUCCUCCAAGACCAAUGAAAAAAAUUGUAGGACUGCCCUGAAUAUCCACCCAAGUGGUGGUUCCAGUGAAACUCUGUUUUGGUUUGGCCUCUCUCUACAGGAUCAUCAACCACAACAGCUAGGAUUUUUUUCCCUCCGGAGCAAGCUUUCUUUCAGAAUGAGUCUUGACUGUCUAAAUUUAGCUUUUCAGCUAUUUUUUUACAGUUAAAUUGGCUAUCUGAGCAAACCAAAUUCCUGACCCCCUCCACAUUGUCAUAUGUCCUGUGGGUGACUAGAAAGCCACUUCUUGCAUCAUUGUGGGGGUCAGCUCUGCCNAAAUUUUUUUUUUUUUUUUUUUUUUUUUUUUUUUGCUUCUUAGGGCCACACUCCAGGCACAUGGAAGUCCCCAGGAUCCCUAGGCUAGAGGUCAAAUCAGAGCUGGAGCUGCAGCUGCCAGCCUAUGCUUCAGCAUCUAGGGAUCUGAGCCCUGUCUUGAGACUUACACACCACAGCUUACAGCAAACGCCGGAUCCUUAACCCACUAAGCGAGGUUUUCCAGUGAUUGGUUGUGAUCUUAGAUUGUAUCUGUUGAGCUCUUUGCUUUUCGUUUUUAUGGUAGAGAAACAUGCAUUACAUAAAUCUUUUAGCCAUUAUGAGUGUACAAUUCAGUGGUGUUAAUUACACGCACAAAGUUGUGCAACUAUUAUUUCCAGAAUAUUUCCAUCAUCUCAAACAAAUUCUGUACCUAUUAUAUAGUACCUCCCCAUUCUCUCCUCUCCCUAGCCCCUGGUAAUCCCUAAGAGUCUCUGAAUUUAACUACACUACCUCCUAAGAGUGGAAUCAUGUCGUUGUACCUGGCUUAUUUCACUUACGUUUUCAAGGCUCACCCAUGUUGUAGCAGUCAUUAUUCAUUCCUUUUUAAGGCUGAAUAAUCCAGUGUGUGUGUGUGUGUGUGUGUGUGUGUGUGUGUGUGUGUGUGUGUGUAUAAAUGCAAUGUUAUGCAUAUAUAUAUAUAAAAAACAUACAUAUACAAAAUGUGGCAUAUAUAUAUAUGUCAUCUCUAGAUGGACAUUUGGGUUGUCACCUUUUGGCUGUUGGGAAUAUUGUUGCUAUGAACAUGGGUGUACAAGUAUCUGUUUGAGUCCCUGCUUUCAAUUCUUUUGGGUAUCUAUACCCAAGAAGCAAAAUUGCUGGAUCAUCCGGUAACUCUGUAAUUUUUGGAGGAGCAGUCAGACUGUUCUCCACAGCAAUGAUACCAUUUUACAUUCCCACCAGGGAUGCACCAGGUUCCAAUUUCUCCACACCCUGCCAACACUUUUUAUUUUCUAACAUCUUUCACAAUGGCCUGUGAUGAUUCAGUCCCCUACAAGGUAUUUUCUUCCCAAAUCUCCUCUGCCUCCCCUCUCCUCCCCCUCUUCUUGAUGUGCUUUUGCUUCAGUGAAAAUAGACUCAGGCUCAAGACUUUUCCUUUGUAUUAAGUACUUAAGGUAACUUUGUGGUUUGCCAAGUGCAAGAAUUCAGUGCAUACUUACAUGUUCCUUUACUGGAGGAAUCUGCAUUACCUUUUUAGGCGGCGAAUAGGGCUGCUUUCUGCAUUAAGAAACGAACUUCACAAUGUAGAUGUGACCCUGAUCUCAGAGAGACAUCAGUGAACCAAGGCUUGAAGCGAGCUCUUAAGUCUCUGCUCAGGAAUUGAACCUGGGCAGCCUGGGUGAAAACCAGGAAUCUUAGCCACUAGAUCAGCUAGCUAGAGGCUAGAAGCAGAAUUGCCUGGAUUCUUGCCCCCCUGUUGAAAGCAAGAAUGUAAAAGCAGAUACAAAGUUUAUUUUUAGAAACUCAAUACAACACGUGGGAGAGCGCACAGAGAAGUAGUCUAUUUAUCUAAGGCCAAAGUAAAGCAGUCAUACACACCGAAAGGUGUGUGGUGCGGGCAUCCCCCUGAAUAAGGAGCGUGCCAGAGGGGUGAUUUAAAUCACAUAUAUGGGACAGUUCUUCCAAGUCUUUGUUUUCCUUUGGCCAAUUAUCUUGUUUUAUUUUUCACACCUGACAAGACCCAGGGCCCUACCUGAUCUGCGGGUGGAUCUUUUGGCCAAGAUGGGUAUCAGAACAAGGGCUUAUGGGAAGGUUAGCUAGACUUACUACGGCCUGGUGCUGCACAUCCCCCCCGCCCCCUUCUAACCCAGAGGGGUCUUUCUGCUUAUGUACAGUUUGGGUCUUCCUGAACCCAGAAUGGUAAGUAUGUGUCAUCACCACUGUUUAACAAGUUCACAUAAGAUAAGUGAACUAAUUAUUUGCUUUUUGCUUGUUGCUAUUUCUAUCAUGGAAGUAUAAGUAGGUGGCUGGAUGUAAAUGUUUAUCUGAGAGCUCACCUAUGUCCCGCCUCAGGAAGUAUAAAUAGGAGGCUGGUUGUUAAGGUCUGUCCCAGAGCCCAUCUAUCUCCUGCCUCAAUCCUGCCCUCCCUUAAACUAUCUGUACAUCAGCUUAAUAAGGGCGAGCUCGAAACAGGCUGGGAUAAGAACCCACCAUUUAAGCAAGGCUUGCCCACAAUUUCUAAUUCAAAUGUCCCAAGGUUUCAAACCGUUCAACACAGAUGGAGGAGCGUCAGGGCCUACCAGGUGGCGCUUUACUACCUUGGGUUCCUUCUGCCAAGCGGCAGCAGAGCCACACUCCCGGUGAACCUCCGCUCCACGAGGAGAAAACUGGGAACGCCAGGUAAAGCCCGAAUUCUGUCAGCUGAGACCCCACUGCCCCAGCCGCGCCUCACCUGGGCCUCCGCGUUCAGACAGGCAGCUCCCAGCCUGCGGCGUCAAACGCCCUGGCCACGCUCGCUGCCCCUCGACGAUCCUCCACUCACCGUUCCGCAGGGGAUGGAAACCACAAGCUGCUAGAGAGGCGCAAACAGCCUGGGGCAGC
This 3776-nucleotide long non-coding RNA is filed under the name Sus scrofa (pig). Its description in RNAcentral is "lncRNA (ENSSSCG00040048002.1)". The record is from RNAcentral. Lineage: Eukaryota; Metazoa; Chordata; Mammalia; Artiodactyla; Suidae.